AGAUUGAACGCUGGCGGCAGGCCUAACACAUGCAAGUCGAGCGGUAGAGAGGUGCUUGCAUCUCUUGAGAGCGGCGGACGGGUGAGUAAUGCCUAGGAAUCUGCCUAGUGGUGGGGGAUAACGUUCGGAAACGGACGCUAAUACCGCAUACGUCCUACGGGAGAAAGCGGGGGACCUUCGGGCCUCGCGCCAUUAGAUGAGCCUAGGUCGGAUUAGCUAGUUGGUGAGGUAAUGGCUCACCAAGGCGACGAUCCGUAACUGGUCUGAGAGGAUGAUCAGUCACACUGGAACUGAGACACGGUCCAGACUCCUACGGGAGCAGCAGUGGGAAUAUGGACAAUGGGCAAAGCCUGAUCCAGCCAUGCCGCGUGUGUGAAGAAGGUCUUCGGAUUGUAAAGCACUUUAAGUGGAGAAGGCAGUUACUAAUACGUAUCUGUUUGACGUUACGACAGAAUAAGCACGGCUAACUCUGUGCCAG
Molecule: ribosomal RNA, 478 nt
Filed under: uncultured soil bacterium
Lineage: Bacteria
Description: bacterial SSU rRNA
Rfam family: Bacterial small subunit ribosomal RNA
Source: RNAcentral